GACGAACCGUGCGAACGUUAUUCGGAAUCACUGGGCUUAAAGCGCGUGUAGGCGGGCGGCCGCGUCGGCAUUGAAAGCCCCCGGCUCAACCGGGGAAUCGGUGCCGAUACGGGUCGCCUGGAGGGGUGUAGGGGGAGCUGGAACUUCCGGUGGAGCGGUGAAAUGCGUUGAGAUCGGAAGGAACGCCCGCGGCGAAAGCGAGCUCCUGGACACUCACUGACGCUGAGACGCGAAAGCCAGGGGAGCGAAC
This 250-nucleotide ribosomal RNA is filed under the name uncultured bacterium. RNAcentral's name for it is "partial 16S ribosomal RNA". It matches the Rfam family "Bacterial small subunit ribosomal RNA", at positions 524 to 773 of the family's 1533-position model. The record is from RNAcentral.